UCAUAGAUUGCUCACGUAUGCAUCACAUAACUACCUUAUGAUUUAGUUCAAAUCAAGCUCACAUAUAAACUUGGAGUACAUACCUGUUUAACCUUUCGCAUUGAAUAUAUUUAUAAGCAAUUCUUAUUGCGAAGUCUUAUAGCUUUAACCUCUACUCGGAUUAUCGGCGAAACCUUUAGCUCAGAUGAAAUCUCCACAUGAAGUCAGCGGGUCUUAACCCAGACAUAGUCACCACAUAUGGUCAUCUGGUCUUUAAUCCCAGGUUUACAUCAUAGAGUUUCAUGCAUAUUUAUUCACAUGUUACAACAUUCACAUCGACUAUCAUAUUUGUAAUUCAUUUACCUCAUCAAAUAUCUAAUAAAACACACCUUCCGCCGUCUGUCAUUUGGCCACAAUAUAGAUAUACACAUCUCAUACAUAUCUCACAUUAGCCAUUCGGCUUUACCUCAUAUCCAUCUCAUACACGUUUCGCAUUAGCCAUUCGGCUUUACCUCAUAUCCGUCCAUCUCAUACACGUUUCGCAUUAGCCAUUCGGCUUCGCCACAUAUAUACACUUCCACGUUCAUCACAUUGGCCAUUCUACCUUAUCACAUAUAUGCAUGUUCACAUUCAUCACAUUGGCCAUUCGGCCUUAUCACAUAUAUGCAUGUUCACAUUCAUCACAUUGGCCAUUCGGCCUUAUCAAACAUAUGCAAGUUCAAAUUCAUCGCAUUGGCCAUUCGGCCUUAUCACGUAUAUGCAUGUUCACAUUCAUCACAUUGGCCAUUCGGCCUUAUCACAUAUAUGCAUGUUCAUAUUCAUCUCAUAAAAUCCUAAAUCAAAAUAUAAGUUUUCAUGUAUUCACAUCACAAUUAUCCAAAUAUACUUCACAUACCACAUAUACUUUCACGUAUACACUUUGUCUUGGUUGAAUCUUUAUCUAUCAUUUUCCAAUGAAUAAUUCAAUUUCAUGCCAUACUAUUAUUUCAUAUUCGAAUACUUAUAACUUACAAUUUCACAAAUUUUAAUAUCAAAGAUCCAUCUAACACUCAUAUAUCAUUUUACAAUAUCACAAUUUAGAAUUCACGUAUGGGUUUAAUCAAUAGCUUAUGAGCAACUAAAACAAGUUUUAUCCAUGUUUACAACAUAACCACAAAUUCUCUACAAGCUGUUUUUCCUGAGCAACAGUCGUUAAUUUAUUUGUAACUAGGGCUACGAAAUUCCAAAUUAUGUGCCGUUAAUUUUCCAUGAAAAUAGACUCGUAUAUCCUCUAUCCACAAAAUUUUCAGAAUUUUUAGUUUGGCCAAUCAAUAACAGAUUUUUCUUAAAAUUUCCCCUAUUUUACUGCUUGACUACUCCGACUACUCUUCACUAAGUAUUUAAUUUCUCAUUGUACCGAAUUCAAAAUAUGUUUUCGUUUAUUUUUUUUGAAACUAGACUCAUUAAGGAGUCUAAGCAUAUAAUUUUAUCUUAUAAUCAUUUUUGUACUAUUUAUGAUGAUUUUCCAAAUACUGAACAGGGGAUUUCGGAGCCAUUCUGACUCUGUCUCACACAACCUUGAAAAUCUCAUUACCGUCAACCCCUUUGCUUACACGAUUUCUUUUAUACGAAACUAGACGUAUCAAGAUUUAAUUACUUAAUUUAUUCAGCCUUUAACUCAACUCCCACAAUUUACGGUAAUUUUUCCAAAACAAGCUACGGCUGCUGUCCCUAGAAGAUUUAUACAAUUUAAUCUGUAAAGUUCUCUUUCACAUAUUUAAAACCUAAUAUCAUAUAUGCCGUCAUUUAGAAAAGUCAUUGACCUUAACGUAUAUACAUAACUCAUAUUCAUCCCGUUUUAAAACUUAAAACUUACAAAGGAAUCAAACUCAAUUACUUAAGAACUUACCAUUGAGUUUAAAACAUAUCAUCAUAUAUAAGUACUUCUUAUUAUCACAUACAAAUCAUAAUUUAAAUAUCACUUUUCUAAUAACCAAUCGGCUAAGGCUCAUAGAAGUAACUUAUUCUUUAUCAUUUUACUAUAGGUAAUUACACCAAUUCAUAGUCCCAUCUUUACCCGUAUUCCAUAUCAUUCUUCAUUAUAACUAAACUUAUAUGCUAGAAACUUACCUUAAGAGUUGUCGACGACUAUAAUUCUAUGGCUAUUCGCUUAGUUUUGUCUUCCCUUUUUCCGACUUUUGUCCUUGAUGCUCUUGAGCUAAUGAUUAACAAAUUUACAAAUUAAAAAAAAUUCUACCAUGACGAUUAUAGCCGAAUAACAUAGACUAAGAAAUUAAUGUACAUAUAAAACGUAUACAUAUAUAAUUAGCUCAACCUUCAAUAAUUCAAUUUGCUAAUUAAAACAUAGAAAUUUAUAACCAAUUCAAAAUUCCUUAACAACGGCCGAAUAUCAAAAGGGCUAUCGAAGGACAUCAUCAACUAACUAACAAGCUUCAAUUGUAAUUCAAAACUUAAGUUCACAUUCGGCCAUUAUAAGCAAAACAACCAUUCAAAGCUCACUUCAAUUAUUUAACAAAUAAAACUAAUGUUUAAUACUAUCUCCCAAUUUGGUAUGAGUUACCGAAUGAAAUUAAACUCCUAAUUCAUGCACUAAAAUCACAUUCGGCACAAGCAAACUUCAUUUCAAUUAUGCCACUCUUAAACUUAUCCAUAAUACCCUAAGUUCAUUUAGUAGCUAGGCAACAAUUAUACAAAAACAACAAGCAUUUAACAACAAUGUACUUAACCAAUUCCUUAAGCAUACAUUCGGCAAUAUAUAUAUUAAUGACUAAAACACUUAGGCCAAUUCUAAAACAUCCACAAAUCUUCAUGCUUACAUGCCAUAACCGUAUGGUUCUUAUCACACUUGGACCACAAAAUGCAUAAAUUUCACAAAUUCUAAUUACUAUCAUAAGCUCAAUUUCGGCUAACACUCAAUUAAAUACUUACAAUUUAGCACUAAUUUAGCAUUUCAACAUAGCCGAUUGUCAUUAAGCAAUUAAGCCACAAACAUUUAAUUUUACCAAGCUCAACUCAUCUAUAAUCAACCCUCAAUACACUAAAGCAUCAAAAACAACAUCAAAGAAAUACAAACAUCCAUGACCGAAUGUCAUCUUCAUAACUUUACAAAAACAUUUGCCAUGAGCUAGCUUCUAUACUUGAUGACCACUCCAAAUAUACAAAGAUUUUCAAUGAAAGAGCAUUAACAUACCUUAAUCCACUUAAAGGUGACCAAAUGCCUUAACUUUAAUUUCUUUUUUUCUUUCUUUAGGUACGGCAAUGGAGGAAGAAAAAGAUGAACCAACUUUGUUUUUAUCACCCAUUUCUUUUAAUAUAAGUUCAUAUUUCAUAUUAUUUAUUCAUUUAACAUUUAAUUUAUUAAUAUAAAAGGCAUAAAAUGUCCAUCAUCCACUAACCUUGCCGUCCACUAACUUAAGGAAGGAAUAUUUAACAUGCAAGUCCCCAUAUUUUAAACCAUACAAUAUUUGGCCACUACAAAUGAACCUAUCACAUUUUCAAGUUUCUCACAUAAGUCCUUUUUAAUAAUUCCACAUUCAAAUGACAAAAUUAAGACACGAUACUUUCACACAUGAAACUUUACAUAUAAUAAACAUAGAAAAGAAAAUUUAUAUAAUUUUGUGACUCGAUUUUGUGGUCCCGAAACCACUUUCCGACCAGGGUGAAAUUAGGGCUAUUACAACACUCCCCCUCUUUAGGGAUUUUCGUCCCUGAAAAUCUUACUAGCGACUACGUUAGGAUAACGUCCUCUUGUUUUAAAACAAAUACAUAACAUCAACUCAGAUAUUCAUAACCGACAUUUUCAUUCAUAUAUAUAUCUAAGCUGUAACAUGGCCGAAAGUAUACAUGUUCUUAAACAUCCUAAUGAAUAUCCUUUAUAACAUUAUCAUAUCUAAAUAUUCAGCUUAACUUAUUUCCAAGAGAAGAUCAACUUCCAUGUACCUGAACAUUUAGUUCAUUCAAUACAUCCAAUCAUAUUUAAAGUUACCCGUAUACAGUCGAAUAGGCAUAAAGCUUAACACAAGUGAUGCCAGUGUACUAAACACGGUCUUACACACUAUCACAAAUCAAUGCCGUCGUCCUAGACGAGAUCUUACAUGAAACGAAAUCCACACACACAGUGCCCACUAACCGAUCUCGCACACAUAGUGCUCAGUUAAAGAAUUCGCACACACAGUGCCUCAAUUCAUUCGCACGCAUAGUGCCUAUAUUCAUUCGUUAUUACACAUUGAAAUAACUUAACCAAGUCUAUAAAACAUCAUAUAAGUAUACUUUAAACGUGUCCUUUUGUUUAACUUUGAAUUCAUAUAGUAAUGAACACUUAAACUUUGCUCGAAUCACCGGCAUUAAGCCUGCUAGGCAUGAAGGCCUGAUUACACAUCACCGGCACGAAUGCCCUUCAGGACUUAGCCCGGAUGUAACACCAGCACAAAUGCUCUUCGGGACUUAGCCCGGAUACAUCACUAGCACGAAUGCUCUUCGGGACUUAGCCCGGAUAUAACACCAGCACGAAUGCUCUUCGGGACUUAGCCCGGAUACAUCACUAGCACGAAUGCUCUUCGGGACUUAGCCCGGAUAUAUAUAACUCUCAAUUCUCAUGUAUAUAUAUAUAACAAUGCACAUUAGUAUAUCAUUUACAUUACUUGAAUACAAACACAACAUGCUUAUCGACCAUUCAACUUUCAGUUCCAUAGCCACAUACAAAGAUCACAUUUAUAGUCAUAACACACUUUCAAAAUUGCAUCACUUAUACCCUUAUAAUUCAAUCCAAAUCAAAAUUCAAAUACAAGUACAUGAUACGUACCUAAUCAACUUAAUAAUUUAAGCAUAUCCAAGGGAAGUUAUAUCGCAAAUUCUCAUAGUCAGAAGCUUGCUACAGCUCGAUCGGGAUCAAGAUUCAUUACAAUACAACAAACACAUUUCAAUAGUCAAAAAUCAUCACACUAUCAUUUUAUCACUUUAUGGCAUGUAUAAAUAGACUCACGCGUGCUACGUUAGUCCUAGAAUCGACUAAACCAUAGCUCUGAUACCAAUAAAAUGUAACACCCCAAUCCCGUAUCCGUCACCGGAAUAGGUAAAGGGGCAUUACUUGACUUGAAACUCAUAUCAGAACAGUAAAUUUUUUUUUUGAACAUUUCUUUAGAUAAGUACUAAAGACAGCCAGGGAUACAAUUUAAACUUCUAUAAGUACACAUUCAAAAGAUGCCAUUUUCGCAUGGCUUAUAUACAUUAACCAAAAUAUUCUUCGGCCACUGGUCUAUUCUAUACAUGCCAUAAAAUAAUUCAAAACAUAACAGUAACAAGCAGUGGAUAGUGAUAGUGUGACUAGUUGCUGACGAUCCCCGAGCCUGUAGCUUUGAAAUGAGAUCUAUAAAACAGAGGAAACAAAGUAAACAGAGUAAGCAUUACAAUGCUUAGUAAGUUUUAAGCAGUGUCAACAGAUAACAAUUAAAUUAUAACAUAGUUGUUCGUAUUUUUAUUUCACUCUUCCUUCGGGCAUACCAUCCCUUUACCGAAUAUGCACAUCUCAUCAUAUACAAUAGGCAGAUAAACUUUCACAUAAAAGUGAGCUCAUGUGACAUAGAUACAUUGUAUAAUUUCACAUAACCUCUCACACUGAUCCGGUGUCACAUAAUCAUAGGAAUAGUCUCAUAGAUUGCUCACGUAUGCAUCACAUAACUACCUUAUGAUUUAGUUCAAAUCAAGCUCACAUAUAAACUUGGAGUACAUACCUGUUUAACCUUUCGCAUUGAAUAUAUUUAUAAGCAAUUCUUAUUGCGAAGUCUUAUAGCUUUAACCUCUACUCGGAUUAUCGGCGAGACCUUUAGCUCAGAUGAAAUCUCCACACGAAGUCAGCGGGUCUUAACCCAGACAUAGUCACCACAUAUGGUCAUCUGGUCUUUAAUCCCAAGUUUACAUCAUAGAGUUUCAUGCAUAUUUAUUCACAUGUUACAACAUUCACAUCGACUAUCAUAUUUGUAAUUCAUUUACCUCAUCAAAUAUCUAAUAAAACACACCUUCCGCCGUCUGUCAUUUGGCCACAAUAUAUAUAUACACAUCUCAUACAUAUCUCACAUUAGCCAUUCGGCUUUACCUCAUAUCCAUCUCAUACACGUUUCGCAUUAGCCAUUCGGCUUUACCUCAUAUCCGUCCAUCUCAUACACGUUUCGCAUUAGCCAUUCGGCUUUACCUCAUAUCCAUCUCAUACACGUUUCGCAUUAGCC
Molecule: long non-coding RNA, 6200 nt
Filed under: Gossypium barbadense (sea-island cotton)
Lineage: Eukaryota; Viridiplantae; Streptophyta; Magnoliopsida; Malvales; Malvaceae
Description: long non-coding RNA (GBAR_LNC002282)
Source: RNAcentral